This is a long non-coding RNA of Esox lucius (northern pike), 798 nucleotides long. The record is from Ensembl. Lineage: Eukaryota; Metazoa; Chordata; Actinopteri; Esociformes; Esocidae.
ACGUUUUUCAUUUACAACUUCAUGGAUGAACAACACCUUAAUUAAAACAUUAACUAAGAUCAUUACAUCAUCAUGAAAUAUGAUUUAUUACGCAUGAUUAUGAUUCUUUGUUUACAGUUAUGCCACCAUAUUGUUCAUCAGUGUUUCAAAGGAACUAGUCAGCAUUUUAUUUGAGGGUCCACACACAUAAUGAAGUAAUUGAUACAUAAUGCUUAGUUAGUGAUGACUACUGUUUUCAGUUACAGCACUUCCAGAAGAUAUUGUUUUCCCCCUGAGGACGCUCUUGGAGGUUGCUGCAAUGGAGCAGAAAUUGGCAGACCCAACCUUCAACAAACAAGUGGUUGGCGUGGUGGCAGAAAUUGGAGGAAGAACAUUGGAUGAAGCCACCAGAAGAAUGAUGGCCUUCCUUUUAGACCACUCCCUAUCAAGAGAGUACAAUUUUGUUGGCUGCAAUGGAAAGCGAGAGUUUCGGGGCUCAAACUGUUUGAGGAAGUUUGAAAAAAAAUGCCCUUGCAAACCAGAUUACUAGAAGAGAUGCUGAAAAGGCAGUGUCAAAGUGGCUAAUUGGUGCCAGGGACAGGGGAGGAAACCGUACAGCGAGGGCACGUGGUGGAGAGCAAGAUGGGUAAAAGUCAUUAUCAUUAAAACUGCAGUUAAAAAGUGUUUAGCCUACUUAUAUUUGUGUAAAACACAACAUUGGGCUUUUGUCAAACUUUAAACUUUUGUAGGCUAACCUACAACUGUCACCCAACCAAAAUCACACACACACACACACAGUUCAGUGGUUCUGGAGAUUUA